This 296-nucleotide unclassified non-coding RNA is filed under the name Funneliformis mosseae. RNAcentral describes it as "partial contains 5.8S ribosomal RNA and internal transcribed spacer 2". The stretch from base 1 to 71 matches the Rfam family "5.8S ribosomal RNA", at positions 84 to 154 of the family's 154-position model. Lineage: Eukaryota; Fungi; Glomeromycota; Glomeromycetes; Glomerales; Glomeraceae. The record is from RNAcentral.
GUGAAUCAUCAAAUUUUUGAACGAAAAUUGCACUCCCUGGUAUUCCGGGGAGUAUGCAUGUUUGAGGGUGGUUAGAUGAUAAAUCGAAGCAUCGCUCUUUUUUUUGAGGGUGAUCGCGUCGGAAUUGAGUCGUAUUUCAAAUGUUAAUUCAUGUUAAAGUGGCUUAAAAUUCAUCUAUCAGGUACGAUUAAAUCGUAUUUAAUAUCAAUUUUGAUUAAGAAAACGUGAUGACGUACCAUCUAAUGUAGUACGUUUGAACUGGGUCAUCAGGUUCAUUCGUAUACGAUAGUCAAUAU